UAUAUAAAGUUUUCGGCUGCCUUUUAGGCUAUCUUCGACAAAUUGAAGCUAAUACAUGCAAACAUGUCCUUUUCGAAGGGCGCAAUAUUAGAACUACUGGCUUGCCGGCGGUUGAUUUCAAUUAUCGUUUCGAUAUCGGAAGGCGACUUCCGAUGGCCGUAAACUGUGUACGCCCUAUCACCCAGCAGGUUAAUCAUUCGCUAACCAGGGGUAUUACGGGUAACGGAGAACUAGGGUUCGUCUCCGGAGAAGAAGCCUUUGAAAGGCUACUACAUCCAAGGAAGGCAGCAGGCGCGUAACUUAUCCACUACCACAGUGAGAUAGUAACUAGUCUUAACUAUUGACUGAUCUUUUAGGUUAGUCAUGGUCCAUGAGUUGAGCCUAAAUAGCUCUUCGAGGACCAAGUGGAGGGCAAGUCUGGUGCCAGCAGCCGCGGUAAUUCCAGCUCCACUAGCGUAAAAUAUUACUGCUGCGGUUAAAAAGCUCGUAGUUGAAUCUAGUCGUGUCCGUUGGGUUUGUCGUUGGCGUUAAUUCGUCUCUGGCGUUAAUUCACGGCCGAUUUUUGCUGGUUUGCUGUUGGUCUUCGGAUCUUCGGUGGCUAGCGAGU
This 607-nucleotide ribosomal RNA is filed under the name Rhabditis sp. LL1056. Its description in RNAcentral is "SSU rRNA". It matches the Rfam family "Eukaryotic small subunit ribosomal RNA", at positions 109 to 751 of the family's 1831-position model. The record is from RNAcentral. Lineage: Eukaryota; Metazoa; Nematoda; Chromadorea; Rhabditida; Rhabditidae.